GGAACCCCAAAUGCUUCCUGAUCGAGGCUGCUGCAUGUCCGGCCUGACAGUGCACGCACAGCGCCCAGCUUCACUCUCUGCACCCAGGAGGCUUUCCCGGGACUCUGGACCCACCUGCAUAGAGGGUCCAGCACCAUCGGCCACCAGGCCGUGAGGUGGCCCCUUGGGGUGGGCGGGGUCAGGAGGAUGGCCGGCCCCUUAGGGAGACGACCCUGCCCCGAAGCCGGGCAGGUUUCGCUCUGUUUUGUUUGUGAUACUCAUGCACACCGGCUUUUCUCUGUAUUAAUCCCUUUUACAAAGCUUUUAGGAAACAUACAAAAAAGCAUAAAGAAUAAAACAAGAUACUCACGUCCCUGUGGCCUAGUAUAAGGGAAACAAAAUGAACAUCGCGGAGAGCGCAGCAGCCCCAUGGCGGCCCCCUGACUGCGCCCCCGCCCCCCACCCAAGGCCAUCUUGAGUUUGGGGCAUAUCCGUCCCUCAUCCCACUGGCAGCCCAGAGGGCACGGCCCCCUCGCACAUGGACACAGAAGGGGCUGCAUCGUAGCACUGCAGCAACAGAAAUUGUGGAAGCCACGAAAGACAUGAAAACUCUGCAGAUAGAAAUGCAGCGACCAGAAGCUCUCUGUCACUGAUGCAUUAGCUCUCGACACAAGGAGUGACAGGUCUAGUGCAUGGCCCGCUUGGGACACGGAAGCCUGUGGGUGGACAGCCCAUAACACAAUGACAAAGUACAGGGCCUGGACCAAGCCUGACCCCUGCUAGCUAUUCCUGGCCAAAGGCUCACCCACACUCAGAUGAGGGGCUGUUACCAUUUGACAGGGGCGUGAAGUCAUGCAGCGCGGGGCAGCGUUUGCAGAGAGGGCUCAGUGUAAUCUGGCGGGUAAGGGGCCCUAAGUCCGUUCCGUGGUGAAGUCAAUGCUCAGCUGGGUCUACCUACCGGGCUCCCAUUUGGAAUAUAAAGUAAAAAUAAAUAAAUAAAUUUCAUCUAAAUAAAAUGGAAGCCCUAGUGGCUCGUUGGGGUGACUUGGAGCACUUCCUAAGGGACAGAUGAGAGUGGAUGGGAGCUGACAUUUAGCUGUAGUUCCAAAUUUACGGAACAUCUCCUUGCAAUAUGUCCAGGUGAGCCUGGAAGUGCACUGGGCUGGGCGGCCAGCGGAGCUGCCUGCCCUCCGGGCUGCUCUGCCAGCACCUUCCUCCUGCCCCACGCUGGGCACAGGCCAUCUGUUUAUAUUGUGGGGUCAGUUGCCCAAGCUCCUGCCAAAGGUGGCUUUCUGUUUAAAACUUCUUUCUCCUUUCUUUGUUUCAGGAUGGGUCACAUUGUGUAUUAGUCUGCUUGAGGUGCCAUAACAAAAUCCCACAGACUGGGUGCCUUGAACAAUAGAAUUCAUUUUCUCACAAUUCUGAAGGCUGGGAGGUUCAACGUCAAGGUGCUGGCCAGGUCAACCUCCCUAGAAGGAAUGUGAUCAGGUUCCAGAACACCUUUUCAAGCCCGUCUCUGGAUAUUAAAAAGGGACCAGCCGACACAGAGCAUCUUGAGCAGAGCACGACAUUCGACUUGGACCUUAGAAACUUGGUGCAGAUGACGCAGCAUGAGACUGUCUUUCAUCCACCGUAUCUAAAUUUAAACGCCUGUCUUCGCCUCCUGUGGAACUUCAUCUGCUUCCCCAUAACAUUGUAAAAAAAAACUUGGCUUCACAUGGUGUUUAGGUUAGAGCUGCGAGAGGAGUAAAAAGUUUUGAGUGCAAGAAACAUCAAGGAGAGAAUGCAAACUGGUGUGGAAACGUGAUGCAGCUCAGGAAACUGCUUGUGACACUGCACAGCUGGCACAGGCGUCCAGGUGAGAACCCGGUGCCCUGGCGCCUCGGCGGUCCAGGCUCGGUGCAUCUCAGAAACCAGCCCUCCAUUUCUUCACCCAUAACUGUUACUCCUUCCCACCCUUCUCCCAUCCCCGUCCUCAUUUCAACAGAAAAAGACCUUCUCUCUUAACCAACAUUUGAGUUAUUCGA
This is a non-coding RNA of Manis javanica (Malayan pangolin), 2006 nucleotides long. Lineage: Eukaryota; Metazoa; Chordata; Mammalia; Pholidota; Manidae. The record is from RefSeq and is a predicted model, not a curated record.